RNAcentral lists this transfer RNA (88 nucleotides) under Lachnospiraceae bacterium. RNAcentral's name for it is "tRNA-Ser". It matches the Rfam family "tRNA". Rfam says of the family: Transfer RNA (tRNA) molecules are approximately 80 nucleotides in length. Their secondary structure includes four short double-helical elements and three loops (D, anti-codon, and T loops). Lineage: Bacteria; Bacillati; Bacillota; Clostridia; Lachnospirales; Lachnospiraceae. The record is from RNAcentral.
GGAGAUGUACCCAAGUGGUUGAAGGGUCCGCACUCGAAAUGCGGUAGGUCGCGCAAGCGGCGCCGGGGUUCAAAUCCCCGCAUCUCCG